RNAcentral lists this non-coding RNA (965 nucleotides) under Glyptothorax fokiensis fokiensis. RNAcentral's name for it is "12S ribosomal RNA". It matches the Rfam family "Bacterial small subunit ribosomal RNA". The record is from RNAcentral. Lineage: Eukaryota; Metazoa; Chordata; Actinopteri; Siluriformes; Sisoridae.
ACAAAGGCUUGGUCCUGACUUUACUAUCAGCUUCAACCCGAUUUAUACAUGCAAGUAUCCGCACCCCUGUGAGAAUGCCCUCAAUCCUCCGAUCGAGAACGAGGGGCAGGCAUCAGGCUCGACCCUAUAUCAUAGCCCAAGACGCCUUGCUACGCCACACCCCCAAGGGAUUUCAGCAGUAAUAAACAUUAAGCCAUGAGUGAAAACUUGACUUAGUUAGGGUUAAAAGGGUCGGUAAAAUUCGUGCCAGCCACCGCGGUUAUACGAAAGACCCAAGUUGAUAGAUGCGGCGUAAAGGGUGGUUAAGGAACACAAAAAUAAAGCUAAAGACCCUCUAAGCCGUCAUACGCACCCCGAGGGCACGAGACCCUAACACGAAAGUAGCUUUAAACAAAAUUUACCUGAUCCCACGAAAGCUAAGAAACAAACUGGGAUUAGAUACCCCACUAUGCUUAGCCUUAAACCUAGAUGUACUAUUACAAACACAUCCGCCAGGGUACUACGAGCCUAGCUUAAAACCCAAAGGACUUGGCGGUGUCUCAGACCCACCUAGAGGAGCCUGUUCUAGAACCGAUAACCCCCGCUAAACCUCACCACUUCUUGUUUUUUCCGCCUAUAUACCGCCGUCGUCAGCUUACCCUGUGAAGGUACUACAGUAAGCAAAAUGGGUCCACCCAAAAACGUCAGGUCAAGGUGUAGCGUACGAAGUGGGAAGAAAUGGGCUACAUUUUCUACUAACAGAAUAUACGGAUGGCACCCUGAAACAUUGUGCCUAAAGGUGGAUUUAGUAGUAAAAAGAAAACAGAGAGUUCUUUUGAAUUAGGCUCUGAGACGCGCACACACCGCCCGUCACUCUCCCCUAUAACUGCUAUUAAAAACAUUCAUAAUAAAACACCAUUAUAAUACGGGGAGGCAAGUCGUAACAUGGUAAGUGUACCGGAAGGUGCACUUGGAUAAUCAGAGCG